Molecule: ribosomal RNA, 502 nt
Filed under: Phialocephala cf. fortinii GK-2010
Lineage: Eukaryota; Fungi; Ascomycota; Leotiomycetes; Helotiales; Mollisiaceae
Description: eukaryotic LSU rRNA
Rfam family: 5.8S ribosomal RNA (bases 156-309)
Source: RNAcentral
UUGGAAACAGCGGUUAGGAGCUUACACCCACCCGUGUUUACAUACUAUUGUUGCUUUGGCGGGCCGUGGCCUCCACUGCGGGCUCUGCUCGUGUGUGCCCGCCAGAGGACCAAACUCUGAAUGUUAGUGAUGUCUGAGUACUAUCUAAUAGUUAAAACUUUCAACAACGGAUCUCUUGGUUCUGGCAUCGAUGAAGAACGCAGCGAAAUGCGAUAAGUAAUGUGAAUUGCAGAAUUCAGUGAAUCAUCGAAUCUUUGAACGCACAUUGCGCCCUGUGGUAUUCCGCAGGGCAUGCCUGUUCGAGCGUCAUUUAACCACUCACGCCUAGCGUGGUAUUGGGGCACGCGGUCUCGCGGCCCUCAAAAUUAGUGGCGGCGCCGGUGGGCUCUAAGCGUAGUACAUACUCCCGCUAUAGAGUUCCCCCGGUGGCUCGCCAGAACCCCCAAUUUUUUACAGGUUGACCUCGGAUCAGGUAGGGAUACCCGCUGAACUUAAGCAUAUC